AUUGAACGCUGGCGGCAGGCCUAACACAUGCAAGUCGAGCGGAGCGGCGGACGGGCGAGUAAUGCCUAGGAAUCUGCCUGGUAGCGGGGGAUAACGUCCGGAAACGGGCGCUAAUAUCGCAAAGUAUCACAUGAGCCGAGGUGGGAUUAGCUAGUUGGUGGGGUAAAGGCCUACCAAGGCGACGAUCCGUAACUGGACUGAGAGGAUGAGCCGUCAAACUGGAACUGAGACACGGUCCAGACUCCUACGGGCGGCAGCAGUGGGGAAUAUUGGACAAUGGGCGAAACCCUGAUCCAGCCAUGCCGCGUGUGUGAAGAAGGUCUUCGGAUUGUAAAGCACUUUAAGUUAGGAGGCGUUACUAACAGAAUAAGCACCGGCUAACUCCGUGCCAGCAGCCGCGGUAAUAC
This 407-nucleotide ribosomal RNA is filed under the name uncultured bacterium. Its description in RNAcentral is "partial 16S ribosomal RNA". It matches the Rfam family "Bacterial small subunit ribosomal RNA", at positions 30 to 526 of the family's 1533-position model. The record is from RNAcentral.